Molecule: ribosomal RNA, 693 nt
Filed under: uncultured bacterium
Lineage: Bacteria
Description: bacterial SSU rRNA
Rfam family: Bacterial small subunit ribosomal RNA
Source: RNAcentral
UGGGAACUGCNUUCUGAACUGGGUGACUAGAGUGUGUCAGAGGGAGGUAGAAUUCCACGUGUAGCAGUGAAAUGCGUAGAGAUGUGGAGGAAUACCGAUGGCGAAGGCAGCCUCCUGGGAUAACACUGACGUUCAUGCCCGAAAGCGUGGGUAGCAAACAGGAUUAGAUACCCUGGUAGUCCACGCCCUAAACGAUGUCGAUUAGCUGUUGGGCAGCAUGACUGCUUAGUAGCGAAGCUAACGCGUGAAAUCGACCGCCUGGGGAGUACGGUCGCAAGAUUAAAACUCAAAGGAAUUGACGGGGACCCGCACAAGCGGUGGAUGAUGUGGAUUAAUUCGAUGCAGCGCGAAGAACCUUACCUGGUCUUGACAUGUACGGAACCCUCCAGAGACGGAGGGGUGCCUUCGGGAGCCGUAACACAGGUGCUGCAUGGCUGUCGUCAGCUCGUGUCGUGAGAUGUUGGGUUAAGUCCCGCAACGAGCGCAACCCUUGUCAUUAGUUGCCAUCAUUAAGUUGGGCACUCUAAUGAGACUGCCGGUGACAAGCCGGAGGAAGGUGGGGAUGACGUCAAGUCCUCAUGGCCCUUAUGACCAGGGCUUCACACGUCAUACAAUGGUCGGUACAGAGGGUAGCCAAGCCGCGAGGUGGAGCCAAUCUCACAAAACCGAUCGUAGUCCGGAUUGCACUCUGCA